CCGAAUUUCAGCAUGACGCUAUGGCCUCUCCAACCAUGUGGCCUCGAUUUAAUGUCAACUUCCCCUUUCAACUGUUCAAGGCCUUCGUUCAUGAGACCAAUGAUAAUCUAUUCGGGAACAGUUCGAACAUAGAGAAUACCUAUAGACAACUCACUCUAAGCCCCGUGUGAAUCACUUUGCUAGUUGAAAGAGACUGCUUUUCUAGUUCCGUCGACAACAGAUCCAGCUUGACUCCGUUCACUCGUUCAGAUGCUUACUAUCUGGUCUGGUCGAGCUCUCUUUGACCCUCAGGUUGAGCCAGCCUGAAAUGCAAGUAGUUUCGCUAAGUAGAUGAAACAGACUCCCCGUACGCGGAGGAAACGAGAUCAACAGAUUCAACUUCCCCUACUGAACCUUCGGCUACUACAAGAUCUUUAUAAACCAAAGAAGUUGAGCCUACUUUACGCACUUCCGCACUAAGCAGGCAAGGCUUUGCUUAGCGAAGGCAUGAGCUACUUGGCGAAGGUAAAUGAU
RNAcentral lists this long non-coding RNA (513 nucleotides) under Panax ginseng (ginseng). RNAcentral's name for it is "long non-coding RNA (PGIN_LNC004204)". The record is from RNAcentral. Lineage: Eukaryota; Viridiplantae; Streptophyta; Magnoliopsida; Apiales; Araliaceae.